UUCCGGUUGAUCCCGCCGGACCUGACUGCUAUCGGAUUGAUACUAAGCCAUGCGAGUCAUUGUAGCAAUACAAGGCAGACGGCUCAGUAACGCGUAGUCAACCUACCCUAUGGACGGGAAUAACCUCGGGAAACUGAGAAUAAUGCCCGAUAGAACACUAUGCCUGGAAUGGUUUGUGUUCCAAAUGAUUUAUCGCCGUAGGAUGGGACUGCGUCCUAUCAGUUUGUUGGUGAGGUAAUGGCCCACCAAGACUAUUACAGGUACGGGCUCUGAGAGGAGUGGCCCGGAGAUGGGUACUGAGACACGGACCCAGGCCCUAUGGGGCGCAGCAGGCGAGAAAACUUUGCAAUGUGCGAAAGCACGACAAGGUUAAUCCGAGUGGUUUCUGCUAAAGGAACCUUUUGUCAGUCCUAGAAACACUGACGAAUAAGGGGUGGGCAAGUUCUGGUGUCAGCCGCCGCGGUAAAACCAGCACCUCAAGUGGUCAGGAUGAUUAUCGGGCCUAAAGCAUCCGUAGCCUGCUUUGUUAGUUUUCGGUUAAAUCUGUACGCUCAACGUACAGGCUGCCGGGAAUACUGCAAAGCUAGGGAGUGGGAGAGGUAGACGGUACUCGGUAGGAAGGGGUAAAAUCCUUUGAUCUAUUGAUGACCACCUGUGGCGAAGGCGGUCUACCAGAACACGUCCGACGGUGAGGGAUGAAAGCUGGGGGAGCAAACCGGAUUAGAUACCCGGGUAGUCCCAGCUGCAAACCAUGCAAACUCAGUGAUGCAUUGGCUUGUGGCCAAUGCAGUGCUGCAGGGAAGCCGUUAAGUUUGCCGCCUGGGAAGUACGUACGCAAGUAUGAAACUUAAAGGAAUUGGCGGGGGAGCACCACAAGGGGUGAAGCCUGCGGUUCAAUUGGAUUCAACGCCGGGAAUCAC
RNAcentral lists this ribosomal RNA (920 nucleotides) under uncultured archaeon. RNAcentral's name for it is "bacterial SSU rRNA". It matches the Rfam family "Archaeal small subunit ribosomal RNA", at positions 1 to 928 of the family's 1478-position model. The record is from RNAcentral.